This 723-nucleotide ribosomal RNA is filed under the name uncultured bacterium. RNAcentral describes it as "bacterial SSU rRNA". It matches the Rfam family "Bacterial small subunit ribosomal RNA", at positions 127 to 851 of the family's 1533-position model. The record is from RNAcentral.
UGCCGUCUACUCUUGGACAGCCUUCUGAAAGGAAGAUUAAUACAAGAUGGCAUCAUGAGUCCGCAUGUUCACAUGAUUAAAGGUAUUCCGGUAGACGAUGGGGAUGCGUUCCAUUAGAUAGUAGGCGGGGUAACGGCCCACCUAGUCUUCGAUGGAUAGGGGUUCUGAGAGGAAGGUCCCCCACAUUGGAACUGAGACACGGUCCAAACUCCUACGGGAGGCAGCAGUGAGGAAUAUUGGUCAAUGGGCGAGAGCCUGAACCAGCCAAGUAGCGUGAAGGAUGACUGCCCUAUGGGUUGUAAACUUCUUUUAUAAAGGAAUAAAGUCGGGUAUGGAUACCCGUUUGCAUGUACUUUAUGAAUAAGGAUCGGCUAACUCCGUGCCAGCAGCCGCGGUAAUACGGAGGAUCCGAGCGUUAUCCGGAUUUAUUGGGUUUAAAGGGAGCGUAGAUGGAUGUUUAAGUCAGUUGUGAAAGUUUGCGGCUCAACCGUAAAAUUGCAGUUGAUACUGGAUAUCUUGAGUGCAGUUGAGGCAGGCGGAAUUCGUGGUGUAGCGGUGAAAUGCUUAGAUAUCACGAAGAACUCCGAUUGCGAAGGCAGCCUGCUAAGCUGCAACUGACAUUGAGGCUCGAAAGUGUGGGUAUCAAACAGGAUUAGAUACCCUGGUAGUCCACACGGUAAACGAUGAAUACUCGCUGUUUGCGAUAUACUGCAAGCGGCCAAG